GNCNUGNGNGUGCUACCAUGCAGCGAGCGAUCUCUUCGGAGAGAGCGGCGGACGGGUGAGUAACGCGUGGGUAACCUGCCCUGUACACACGGAUAACAUACCGAAAGGUAUACUAAUACGGGAUAACAUANGAAAGUCGCAUGGCUUUUGUAUCAAAGCUCCGGCGGUACAGGAUGGACCCGCGUCUGAUUAGCUAGUUGGUAAGGUAAUGGCUUACCAAGGCAACGAUCAGUAGCCGACCUGAAGAGGGUGAUCGGCCACACUGGAACUGAGACACGGUCCAGACUCCUACGGGAGGCAGCAGUGGGGAAUAUUGCACAAUGGGCGAAAGCCUGAUGCAGCAACGCCGCGUGAGCGAUGAAGGCCUUCGGGUCGUAAAGCUCUGUCCUCAAGGAAGAUAAUGACGGUACUUGAGGAGGAAGCCCCGGCUAACUACGUGCCAGCAGCCGCGGUAAUACGUAGGGGGCUAG
RNAcentral lists this ribosomal RNA (470 nucleotides) under Clostridium sp. HT 33. Its description in RNAcentral is "bacterial SSU rRNA". It matches the Rfam family "Bacterial small subunit ribosomal RNA", at positions 41 to 538 of the family's 1533-position model. The record is from RNAcentral. Lineage: Bacteria; Bacillati; Bacillota; Clostridia; Eubacteriales; Clostridiaceae.